RNAcentral lists this ribosomal RNA (690 nucleotides) under uncultured Acidobacteriota bacterium. Its description in RNAcentral is "bacterial SSU rRNA". It matches the Rfam family "Bacterial small subunit ribosomal RNA", at positions 15 to 739 of the family's 1533-position model. The record is from RNAcentral. Lineage: Bacteria; Pseudomonadati; Acidobacteriota.
GAUCCUGGCUCAGAAUCAACGCUGGCGGCGCGCUUAACACAUGCAAGUCGAACGAGAAAGUCCGCAAGGAUGAGUACAGUGGCGUACGGGUGAGUAACACGUGGAUAAUCCACCUCUUUGUGGGGAAUAACUUUGGGAAACCGAAGCUAAUACCGCAUAAGCCUGAGAAGGGAAAGCCGAAAGGCGCAGAGAGAGGAGUCCGCGGCUGAUUAGCUAGUUGGUGGGGUAAGAGCCUACCAAGGCUGAGAUCGGUAGCCGGCCUGAGAGGGCACACGGCCACACUGGCACUGCAACACGGGCCAGACUCCUACGGGAGGCAGCAGUGGGGAAUCUUGCACAAUGGACGAAAGUCUGAUGCAGCGACGCCGCGUGCGCGAUGACGCCCUUCGGGGUGUAAAGCGCUUUCGGCUGGAACGAUAAUGACGGUACCAGCAGAAGAAGCUGCGGCUAACUACGUGCCAGCAGCCGCGGUAAUACGUAGGCAGCAAGCGUUGUUCGGAGUUACUGGGCGUAAAGAGUCUGUAGGCGGUGCUCUAAGUUUGGUGUGAAAUCUCCCGGCUUAACCGGGAGGGUGCGCCGAAGACUGGGGUGCUGGAGUCUGGGAGAGGAAAGCGGAAUUCCUGGUGUAGCGGUGAAAUGCGUAGAUAUCAGGAGGAACACCGGUGGUGUAGACGGCUUUCUGGACCAGUA